CUUUGUUUGAAAACAAGCACAGCGGGGAGCAGAGAACCCUGAAAAAGGCGAGUGUGUGUGAGCAUGUGUGCCUGAGUUUGUGGACAUGUGAGUGUGUGAACAUGCGACUGUAUGUGUGAAUGUGAGUGUGUGUGAAUACAUGUAUGACGGUGUGUGUGAAUGUGUCAGGAUGUAAACACACGUGCAUGUGACUAUGUGUUUGUGUGUGUGAUUUGCACGUGCGAUUGUAUGACUUGAGUGUGUGAGGUGUGCCUGAGUGUGUGCCUGGGUGCAUGCGGCUGAGCGGGUAUGACCAUGAGGUCUGCUGAGGGUCACUCAGGAGGAGGAAAUGAAGGACAGGAAGCCGGGAAGGAGAGGCUGGCAAAGACGUGCCUCUUCCCUCAGCUGGAAAUGCAGAUGAUGGUGGAGCAGGAGCAGCCAGGAACCAGGCUGCGCAGUGGUGAUGUCAUCCUCCAUUAAUCAGGAGGCAGAUGCUCCCGCCCUUGUGCUCCACCAUCUCCCAGGAAGAGGCAAAGCCAGGUUCCCUGAGCACCCUCCCGGCCCCAUCUACAGCAUGGGCACUUCCACAAGAGUGUGACCCUGUUCAGCGUAAGAUCUCUGUUUUGCCAGCUGCGGAAGUCCUGCACCACCACAUACGGCUGCCCAUUGCACUCCAUCAGAAGGGUUACACAAGGAUGGAGUUAAAAUUCUAAAUUAGAAUGAGAAUGGAAACUUGGAGUCAACAGAAGCCAUCUUUUCUCUGAAAGAAACCUUUAAUACAGAAACAAAGAGCCAUAAUAUCCAGGAGAACACAACCCAGAGGAUUUCAGGACUUCUUUAGUAGCCAAGCUCAAGAGAUGCCAGAGUCCAUGCUGCUUACAGUGAGUACUCUUUUAUGAAGGCUGAAGAACACAGCCUUGCUAGUUCCUGUCCCCUGUCCUGCUGCAGACACGCGGUGGCCUGGAACCCCUCGUGAUUACUGAAGGAAGCUCCCCGUGAUUAAUCUGGACAUAACACUGUCUAGACGAACCAAAGCAGACACCUUAUCUGAGAGCCACCACCCUGUGACCAUGGCAUGAGCUCACUGUCCCCUUCUGUCUUAGGCUCUCUCUCACUUAAAUCACUCAUCAAAAAGUUGAUUUAAACUAACAUUAAAUAAGACACAAUUUCAUUAAUUUUUUUCUUACCAAAUAUGCCCUUGUGGUAUAUACUCCUGAUAUUAGUUACAGAGACCUCAGGUUUGUGCUUUUCCAUAUAAAGAAGGUACAUAUUCUAUGUAUAAACUGUGUAGAAACACAUGUUCGAGCAGUUACAUUAGAAAACUGAAUUGUGAUUUGACCAUUGUAUCUCCCAAAGCUGAAUAAAGCAACUCUCUGUGACAUCACAGAGACAAAACGUUUUCAGCUUGACAGGUUAAUUUAGGCAACAUUUUGUGUUCUGCUUUAUUAGAUAACCAGCAUAACUCAAAACAACUGAUAUUGAAUUUUUGCCAAGAUAUAAUGUUGAUAUAAGCCUGUUGGUAUUUUGGAUCCGUUUUCUCUAACAAAACACAAAAAAUUUCAACAAAUAUAUAAAAUCAAAAUUUAUUUUGUUUAUGUAUUAGAAAUGGGGUGCUGAAAAACUGGGAAAGAAUGUCUCACCUAAAUAAAAAGAUUCUUCCAACAUGAAAAAAGCUAAAAUAUAAGGUUGUUUUCAAUAGUGCCUUCUCCCUCUAAUCACAAAACUUUAAUGGGUAGAGAGCUGCUUCUCUUGUAGGGAGGGGAAAAAAUCAUAUAUUCUUUACAGCAUUCAAAUGUGAAAGAAGAUACUGGAGACAGGUCAUA
Molecule: long non-coding RNA, 1802 nt
Organism: Marmota monax (woodchuck)
Lineage: Eukaryota; Metazoa; Chordata; Mammalia; Rodentia; Sciuridae
Exons: 4
Source: RefSeq, a predicted model, not a curated record